UUGACCUCGGAUCAGGCAGGGAUACCCGCUGAACUUAAGCAUAUCAAUAAGCGGAGGAAAAGAAACCAACAGGGAUUGCCUCAGUAACGGCGAGUGAAGCGGCAACAGCUCAAAUUUGAAAUCUGGCUCUUUUAGGGUCCGAGUUGUAAUUUGUAGAGGAUGCUUCGGCGUCGGCUCCGGUCUAAGUUCCUUGGAACAGGACGUCAUAGAGGGUGAGAAUCCCGUAUGUGAUCGGUUGCCCUUGCCAUGUGAAGCUCCUUCGACGAGUCGAGUUGUUUGGGAAUGCAGCUCUAAAUGGGAGGUAAAUUUCUUCUAAAGCUAAAUACUGGCCAGAGACCGAUAGCGCACAAGUAGAGUGAUCGAAAGAUGAAAAGCACUUUGGAAAGAGAGUCAAAAAGUACGUGAAAUUGUUGAAAGGGAA
This 421-nucleotide ribosomal RNA is filed under the name uncultured Cenococcum. RNAcentral's name for it is "eukaryotic LSU rRNA". It matches the Rfam family "Eukaryotic large subunit ribosomal RNA", at positions 1 to 418 of the family's 3401-position model. The record is from RNAcentral. Lineage: Eukaryota; Fungi; Ascomycota; Dothideomycetes; Gloniales; Gloniaceae.